RNAcentral lists this unclassified non-coding RNA (294 nucleotides) under air metagenome. Its description in RNAcentral is "partial contains small subunit ribosomal RNA, internal transcribed spacer 1, and 5.8S ribosomal RNA". The stretch from base 1 to 46 matches the Rfam family "Eukaryotic small subunit ribosomal RNA", at positions 1786 to 1831 of the family's 1831-position model. The record is from RNAcentral.
AAGUCGUAACAAGGUUUCCGUAGGUGAACCUGCGGAAGGAUCAUUAUUGAAUUGAAAUAGAUUGAGAUUGUAGCUGGCUUCUGUUAAUGAAGUAAUGUGCACAUCUCAUUUUGUUAUCCAAACUUUGUACCUCUGUGCACAUCGCAUGAGUUUGAGUUGUUAUUUAAAAAUAUGACAUAACGUAUCUCAGCUCAUGUGCUUUUAAUAUACACCUGUUUGUUUGAAGAAUGUUGUUAUUUUGUGCUUUAAUUGCAUGUAUAAAUAUAACUUUCAGCAACGGAUCUCUUGGCUCUC